GAGGGUAUAGCUCAGUGGUAGAGUGCAUGCUUAGCAUGCAUGCACGAGGUCCUGGGUUCAAUCCCCAGUGCCUCCA
RNAcentral lists this transfer RNA (76 nucleotides) under Camelus bactrianus (Bactrian camel). It matches the Rfam family "tRNA". From Rfam's summary of the family: Transfer RNA (tRNA) molecules are approximately 80 nucleotides in length. Their secondary structure includes four short double-helical elements and three loops (D, anti-codon, and T loops). The record is from Rfam by way of RNAcentral. RNAcentral also lists the same sequence under 2 other names. Lineage: Eukaryota; Metazoa; Chordata; Mammalia; Artiodactyla; Camelidae.